GAAGGCUCUCACAAGCUGCAUAGCGAAGAGGUGGGUUUCAUCAUCAUCGGAAACUCUCGCCAGAACUAUCUCCGUAGAACUCACUGAUGAAGAGGGCUAUUUUGAGAAUGAUACAGCUGCUGCGGUGAAAGAAAUUUUGUCCGAAUCCCUGGAAGGUGACUUAGCAUCUAUGUGUUCGUGGGGCGAUGAAAUUAAACACCUAUCAUUGGCGAUGGACGAGCCCUCUGUUCUACGUUGACACUCAUGAUUUCAGAUGCAACUAUAAGUAUUGUCGGGAUUUUCAUGACACCCGUGGACACAAAGACCGGUGUGUGACCGGAGCAAUUUUCAAGUACACAAUGCAGUCGGGUAUCAAAGAAUAAAAGUUA
This is a long non-coding RNA of Tarenaya hassleriana, 368 nucleotides long. RefSeq lists it as uncharacterized. NCBI's taxonomy places the organism in Eukaryota, Viridiplantae, Streptophyta, Magnoliopsida, Brassicales, Cleomaceae. The transcript is spliced from 3 exons. The record is from RefSeq and is a predicted model, not a curated record.